AGAAAAUUUAACUGAUCUUUAAGUAGUUUUUCCAAUUGAAUCUACAUUUGGCAUUUAUGUUUUGUAGAUCCACAUAUAGUUAAUGAGGUAUUAUUUCCAAGAGAUUACCUCCUAGAAACUGGUUGGAGUGGAGUUGACUUCUACGUCUUAGACAUGAGGGCUCAGUAACAUGGUAGAUGCGGCUGUUUGGAUGAUUGCAGCUGUUGUAGAGAUCACAAGAUUGCGAAUGCUGGCUAGGAAGAACACGGUUAGAGUAGAGGUGAAUUUAGGAGGGUUACGGUUGCUAGCUAGAAAGAUCACAGUUGAAGAAUAGGAGAAUAUAAGGGGGUUGCAACUGCUGGAGAAACACAACAAUGAUGGUUGUGGAAGCUAGAAUCGAAGAAUUGAAGAGCUAACAGCGAUGAAUGUUGGAGUUAGAGAGAAGCUUGUAGCAAUGAAGGCUGCAGAAGAUACCCAAAAAUACAAAUCCAAGGGCUCUAAUAGCAUGUGAGAAAAUAUUAGAGAAUUCUGUUGAUCUCAAUUUAUUCUAAUUAAGAGCAAAGUGUGUUCUUAUACAAGCUGUAUAGAGAAGACAACAAAAAAAAAUUCAUAUAUACAAUGAAACACAAACUAAAAAAAUGAUGUCCAUUUGAAUGAAAGAUUUCCUUAAUCAAUAAUUUUAUGAUCCAUAAAUUAAUUUGAGUUCUUUCUGUAAGGAGCCAUUCCCGGAAUGGAAUAGACAUUGUUGGUUGGUUUUCAUAAUAAUUCCAGCACUUGCAGUAAUUAAUUCUUUCAAUAGAUGAUCAGUCCCAUAUUUGAUGGCAAGCAUUCCGUUCCAACAACUAUAAGUCGGAUAUCUAUAAGAACAUAGCCUCCCUAUUCUCCAAUUAAAAAUGAUCGUCUGCAAUUAGCUGUUAUUGUCUAAAAACUUUCCUCUAUAUGCUUUCUCAAUAAGGCUUCGUUUGAGACGACUUUCUUACUGCUUCUUAAGUAUCUUUUUAGUACAAUUUUUUUAAUUUUUAUACUAAAAAAUUACUUUGCGAAGCAAUAAGAAAGCCGUCCCAAACAAAACCUAAAUCACCCUGAAGAUCAAUCUGUUAAAAUUACUAAUAACCGGAUCAACAUUGACUGAUUGCCUAGCCAGAUGGGCAGACAUCCUAAAAACAGUCAUCAUAUCUGUACUUUUUUUUUCCAACCUAGCUGUACUAAAUGCAUCAUUUUUCUUACAGGUUGACAAAAUUCAGAUAUCUGAAAUCUUCCAAACUGAAGAGAAGAAGUACCGUGUAUGGACUGCAUCACCAAACAUGACCCUCGGUAAUGCUGAAAUGAUCAUGGAUUUGCAUGGGUUGAACCAGCUUCCUGUUGUGUCACAGAUGGUCGAUGGUCAAAAUAGAGGACCCUUGAUUGGUCUGCUGGACAGAGAAUGCAUAAAGGUCACGUGCAGAGCAAUGGCAAUAAAAGAGCUUCUCAGUCUAUCUUCUAUGAAAAGAAAGCACAGUUACUGAGUUGAACCUAAAUAAGUUUGAUGAGCUGUUGAUUGCAAAUGUAUAUAGCAUUCAAUGCAUGAUACUGCUUACUGUUUUGAUUGACUAUCAUGGUGGCUUUAAGGUAUUUAAAUGGCCAAAUGUAUAGUUUUGAACGACUAUAUUCAUUAAUUCUCAAUUCUAAAGUUAGCAGGAUGAGAGUUAUUAUGGUGUAAAUGAGGAUCAAAUUUAAAAUUUCGCGAUCAACGUUCGAAGACACUUUAUCAGUCGGACGAGUUGGAGCUAUUAUUCUGUGCGGACACUGGACGGUUCUCCCGUUUAGUUACGCACUCGGUAUCGAGUGCGAUACAUUUUUUGAGGUGACGUGGCACAUUUUUAUUGAUCUCCGGACGAAUCUGAACGCUGCACGUAAUAAUUUUUCUACGCACUCUAUUAGCAGAACAGCUUUCAUUCAGAAGCUGAAUAUUCCCCUCUAUACUAUUAUUUCAGCUGCAGGAACAAAAGGCAUAGAAUUCAUGUGGACUCAACAAAGCUCAAUAUGCUA
Long non-coding RNA from Dendrobium catenatum, 2007 nucleotides. RefSeq lists it as uncharacterized. NCBI's taxonomy places the organism in Eukaryota, Viridiplantae, Streptophyta, Magnoliopsida, Asparagales, Orchidaceae. The record is from RefSeq and is a predicted model, not a curated record. The transcript has 3 exons.